This 253-nucleotide ribosomal RNA is filed under the name uncultured bacterium. RNAcentral's name for it is "partial 16S ribosomal RNA". It matches the Rfam family "Bacterial small subunit ribosomal RNA", at positions 524 to 776 of the family's 1533-position model. The record is from RNAcentral.
UACGAAGGACCCGAGCGUUAUCCGGAUUCAUUGGGUUUAAAGGGUGCGUAGGCGGAAUGAUAAGUCAGUGGUGAAAUCCUGCAGCUCAACUGCAGAACUGCCUUUGAUACUGUUUGGCUUGAGACCGGUAGAGGUAAGUGGAACUGCGAGUGUAGAGGUGAAAUUCGUAGAUAUUCGCAAGAACACCAGUGGCGAAGGCGGCUUACUGGACCGGUUCUGACGCUGAGGCGCGAAAGCGUGGGGAGCAAACAGG